This 329-nucleotide unclassified non-coding RNA is filed under the name soil metagenome. RNAcentral describes it as "partial contains 5.8S ribosomal RNA, internal transcribed spacer 2, and large subunit ribosomal RNA". The stretch from base 1 to 120 matches the Rfam family "5.8S ribosomal RNA", at positions 35 to 154 of the family's 154-position model. The record is from RNAcentral.
GAUGAAGAACGCAGCGAAAUGCGAUAAGUAAUGUGAAUUGCAGAAUUCAGUGAAUCAUCGAAUCUUUGAACGCACAUUGCGCCCCUUGGUAUUCCGAGGGGCAUGCCUGUUCGAGCGUCAUUAUAACCCCUCAAGCUCAGCUUGGUGUUGGGGCCUGCUGCACUGGCAGCCCUUAAAAUCAGUGGCGGCGCCAUCUGGCUCUAAGCGUAGUAAUUCUUCUCGCUAUGGAGUCCUGGUGGAUGCUUGCCAUCAACCCCCAAUUUUUCUAUGGUUGACCUCGGAUCAGGUAGGGAUACGCGCUGAACUUAAGCAUAUCAAUAAGCGGAGGA